UAAAAACAUUUCUAUAUAAUUUAUGUAUAGUACCCUCUGCCCGGUGAUGAAAUAUUAAACGGCCACUUUUGUGCUAAGGUAGCAUAAUUACUUGUUUCUUAAAUAGAAUCUUGUCUGAAUGAGGAUUACUUAUUAAUUUCUGUCUAAUAGUGUGUAUUUGAAAUUUUAUUCAGGUAAAAAUUCCUGAAAUUCUUAAAAGACGAGAAGACCCUGAAAUCUUUUCCUAAAGAAAAAAUAAUGGUUUAAAUGGGGCCUUAUAAAUUUUUAUUAAAUUUUUUAUGUUUUAAUUGAGUUAUUUAGUAAGUUACUUCAGGGGUAACAGGGCAAUCAAUGUUAGAGAUCUUAUCAAAUCAUUGGUUUGCUACCUCGAUGUUGAAUUAAACUUGGUCUUCUAGGUAGAAGGAGGAGAUGUGGGCCUGUUCGGCCUGUAGAGUUUUACAUGAUUUGAGUUUAA
RNAcentral lists this ribosomal RNA (454 nucleotides) under Myozonaria fissipara. RNAcentral describes it as "partial 16S ribosomal RNA". It matches the Rfam family "Bacterial large subunit ribosomal RNA", at positions 1808 to 2614 of the family's 2925-position model. Lineage: Eukaryota; Metazoa; Platyhelminthes; Dolichomicrostomida; Dolichomacrostomidae. The record is from RNAcentral.